GAGUUUGAUCCUGGCUCAGGACGAACGCUGGCGGCGUGCCUAACACAUGCAAGUCGAGCGAAUGAAGUUCCUUCGGGAAUGGAUUUAGCGGCGGACGGGUGAGUAACACGUGGGUAACCUGCCCUGUACACACGGAUAACAUACCGAAAGGUAUGCUAAUACGAGAUAAUAUGCUUUUAUCGCAUGGUAGAAGUAUCAAAGCUUUUGCGGUACAGGAUGGACCCGCGUCUGAUUAGCUAGUUGGUAAGGUAACGGCUUACCAAGGCGACGAUCAGUAGCCGACCUGAGAGGGUGAUCGGCCACAUUGGAACUGAGACACGGUCCAAACUCCUACGGGAGGCAGCAGUGGGGAAUAUUGCACAAUGGGCGAAAGCCUGAUGCAGCAACGCCGCGUGAGCGAUGAAGGCCUUCGGGUCGUAAAGCUCUGUCCUCAAGGAAGAUAAUGACGGUACUUGAGGAGGAAGCCCCGGCUAACUACGUGCCAGCCGCCGCGGUAAUUC
This 500-nucleotide ribosomal RNA is filed under the name uncultured bacterium. Its description in RNAcentral is "bacterial SSU rRNA". It matches the Rfam family "Bacterial small subunit ribosomal RNA", at positions 9 to 526 of the family's 1533-position model. The record is from RNAcentral.